RNAcentral lists this ribosomal RNA (447 nucleotides) under uncultured bacterium. RNAcentral's name for it is "bacterial SSU rRNA". It matches the Rfam family "Bacterial small subunit ribosomal RNA", at positions 355 to 825 of the family's 1533-position model. The record is from RNAcentral.
UCGGGAAUUUUGGGCAAUGGGCGAAAGCCUGACCCAGCAACGCCGCGUGAAGGAUGAAGUAUUUCGGUAUGUAAACUUCGAAAGAAUAGGAAGAAUAAAUGACGGUACUAUUUAUAAGGUCCGGCUAACUACGUGCCAGCAGCCGCGGUAAUACGUAGGGACCAAGCGUUGUUCGGAUUUACUGGGCGUAAAGGGCGCGUAGGCGGCAAUUCAAGUCAUCUGUGAAAUCUCCGGGCUUAACUCGGAACGGUCAGAUGAUACUGCUUUGCUAGAGUGCAGAAGGGGCAAUCGGAAUUCUUGGUGUAGCGGUGAAAUGCGUAGAUAUCGGAAGGAACAUCGGUGGCGAAGGCGUCUACCUGGCCUAAUACUGACACUGAGGCACGAAAGCGUGGGGAGCAAACAGGAUUAGAUACCCAAGUAUUCCCUGAGCGGGCUGGCAAGGCGCAU